ACAUUAAAUAAUAAAAUUAUUUAUGGUUUAAAAAUUUAUUAUAAAUUUAUUUUACAUAUAAAUUUUAGUGUUAAUUUUUAAUUUAUUUAAAUAAUAAUUAAUAUUUAUUUGUAGUAAUUAGAAUUAAAAAUUUAAGUAAUUAAGAUUUAGUAAUAUUUAAAUUAAUAACAAAUUUUGUGCCAGCAGUUGCGGUUAUACAAAAAUUAAAUUAAAUUUUUUUAGGGAUUAAUUAAUAAUAGAUUAUAUAAUAAAAUUAAAAUUUAAAUUAUUAAGUGAAAUUUUAAUUUAUGAAAAUUUUAUAUUGAAUUAUGAAUUAAAAAAUUUUAUUAAAAACUAGGAUUAGAUACCCUAUUAUUAAAAAUUUAAAUUAAUAAUACUAAAAUAGUAUAUAAUUAUUUAUAAAAACUUAAAUAAUUUGGCGGUAUUUUAGUUUAUUUAGAGGAAUCUGUUUAUUAAUUGAUAUUCCACGAAUAAAUUUACUUAAUUUAUUUAAUUUUGUAUAUCGUUGUUAAAAAAAUAUUUUAAAAUAAUAAUAAUAUUUUAAUUUUUAUAUUAAAAGUUAAAUCAGAUCAAGAUGCAGAUUAUAAUUAAGAAUAUAAUGGAUUACAAUAAAUUUAUUUAAUUGGAUGUUAUUUUUAAAAAUUAAUUGAAAUUGGAUUUAAAUGUAAUUUUAUUUAAUUUAUUAAAAUGAUUUUAAUUUAAAAUAUGUACAUAUUGCCCGUCGCUUUCAUUAAUAAAUUGAAAUAAGUCGUAACAAAGUAGAGGUACUGGAAAGUGUUUCUAGAAAGAGUA
RNAcentral lists this non-coding RNA (792 nucleotides) under Bombyx mori (domestic silkworm). The record is from RNAcentral. Lineage: Eukaryota; Metazoa; Arthropoda; Insecta; Lepidoptera; Bombycidae.